RNAcentral lists this ribosomal RNA (541 nucleotides) under uncultured bacterium. Its description in RNAcentral is "bacterial SSU rRNA". It matches the Rfam family "Bacterial small subunit ribosomal RNA", at positions 777 to 1317 of the family's 1533-position model. The record is from RNAcentral.
AAUAGAUACCCCGGUAGUCCACGCCGUAAACGAUGUCGACUUGGAGGUUGUUCCCUUGAGGAGUGGCUUCCGGAGCUAACGCGUUAAGUCGACCGCCUGGGGAGUACGGCCGCAAGGUUAAAACUCAAAUGAAUUGACGGGGGGCCCGCACAAGCGGUGGAGCAUGUGGUUUAAUUCGGUGCAACGCGAAGAACCUUACCUACUCUUGACAUCCAGAGAACUUAGCAGAGAUGCUUUGGUGCCUUCGGGAACUCUGAGACAGGUGCUGCAUGGCUGUCGUCAGCUCGUGUUGUGAAAUGUUGGGUUAAGUCCCGCAACGAGCGCAACCCUUAUCCUUUGUUGCCAGCGGUUCGGCCGGGAACUCAAAGGAGACUGCCAGUGAUAAACUGGAGGAAGGUGGGGAUGACGUCAAGUCAUCAUGGCCCUUACGAGUAGGGCUACACACGUGCUACAAUGGCGUAUCAAAAGAGAAGCGACCUCGCGAGAGCAAGCGGACCUCAUAAAGUACGUCGUAGUCCGGAUUGGAGUCUGCAACUCGACU